This 24-nucleotide ribosomal RNA is filed under the name uncultured Tuber. RNAcentral describes it as "partial 28S ribosomal RNA". The record is from RNAcentral. Lineage: Eukaryota; Fungi; Ascomycota; Pezizomycetes; Pezizales; Tuberaceae.
GUGACCUCGAAUCAGUAAGACCAG